GACGAACGCUGGCGGCGUGCCUAACACAUGCAAGUCGAACGGAGUGUUUAUUUAUAAACACUUAGUGGCGAACGGGUGAGUAACGCGUGGGCAACCUGCCCUUCAGACGGGGACAACAUUCCGAAAGGAGUGCUAAUACCGGAUACGACCUUUGAACCGCAUGGUUUAAAGAAGAAAGGUGGCCUCUACUUAUAAGCUACCGCUGAAGGAUGGGCCUGCGUCUGAUUAGCUAGUUGGUGGGGUAAAGGCCUACCAAGGCGACGAUCAGUAGCCGGUCUGAGAGGAUGAACGGCCACACUGGGACUGAGACACGGCCCAGACUCCUACGGGAGGCAGCAGUGGGGAAUCUUCCGCAAUGGGCGAAAGCCUGACGGAGCAACGCCGCGUGAGUGAAGAAGGUCUUCGGAUUGUAAAGCUCUGUUUAAAGGGACGAAUGGCAGAUUUGUGAAUAAUGAAUUUGCAUGACGGUACCUUUGGAGGAAGCCACGGCUAACUACGUGCCAGCAGCCGCCGUAA
RNAcentral lists this ribosomal RNA (516 nucleotides) under uncultured bacterium. RNAcentral's name for it is "partial 16S ribosomal RNA". It matches the Rfam family "Bacterial small subunit ribosomal RNA", at positions 28 to 523 of the family's 1533-position model. The record is from RNAcentral.